This 465-nucleotide ribosomal RNA is filed under the name bacterium VCB1003. RNAcentral's name for it is "bacterial SSU rRNA". It matches the Rfam family "Bacterial small subunit ribosomal RNA", at positions 28 to 478 of the family's 1533-position model. The record is from RNAcentral.
GAUGAACGCUGGCGGCGUGCCUAACACAUGCAAGUCGAACGGAGAUUUAACGCUGAUGAGGCUUCGGCGGAUUCUUGUUAAAUCUUAGUGGCGGACGGGUGAGUAACGCGUGGGCAACCUGCCUCAUACUGGGGGAUAACAGUUGGAAACGACUGUUAAUACCGCAUAAGCGCACAGCAUCGCAUGAUGCAGUGUGAAAAACUCCGGUGGUAUGAGAUGGGCCCGCGUCAGAUUAGCUAGUUGGCGGGGUAACGGCCCACCAAGGCGACGAUCUGUAGCCGGACUGAGAGGUCGGACGGCCACAUUGGGACUGAGACACGGCCCAAACUCCUACGGGAGGCAGCAGUGGGGGAUAUUGCACAAUGGAGGAAACUCUGAUGCAGCGACGCCGCGUGAGUGAAGAAGUAUUUCGGUAUGUAAAGCUCUAUCAGCAGGGAAGAAAGGCUCGUAAGAGAGAUGACGUAC